RNAcentral lists this ribosomal RNA (367 nucleotides) under uncultured organism. RNAcentral's name for it is "bacterial LSU rRNA". It matches the Rfam family "Bacterial large subunit ribosomal RNA", at positions 2099 to 2465 of the family's 2925-position model. The record is from RNAcentral.
CUUUACUGCAACUUGGCAGUGAGUUUCGGGGCAAUCUGCGUAGGAUAGGUGGGAGACUUUGAAACCGGGGUUCUGGCUUCGGUGGAGUCAACGUUGAAAUACCACCCUGAUUGCUCUGGGAUUCUAACCUGCGCCCGUGAUCCGGGCGAGGGACACUGCCUGGCGGGCAGUUUGACUGGGGCGGUCGCCUCCCAAAACGUAACGGAGGCGUGCGAAGGUUCCCUCAGCCUGAUUGGAAACCAGGCGUAGAGUGCAAACGCACAAGGGAGCUUAACUGCGAGACCGACAGGUCGAGCAGGUGCGAAAGCAGGCGUUAGUGAUCCGGUGGUUCCACAUGGAAGGGCCAUCGCUCAUCGGAUAAAAGGUA